This 22-nucleotide microRNA is filed under the name Macaca mulatta (Rhesus monkey). RNAcentral's name for it is "mml-miR-519e". Its record names the gene mml-miR-519e. The record is from miRBase by way of RNAcentral. Lineage: Eukaryota; Metazoa; Chordata; Mammalia; Primates; Cercopithecidae.
UUCUCCAAUGGGAAGCACCUUC